RNAcentral lists this ribosomal RNA (461 nucleotides) under uncultured bacterium. RNAcentral describes it as "partial 16S ribosomal RNA". It matches the Rfam family "Bacterial small subunit ribosomal RNA", at positions 338 to 795 of the family's 1533-position model. The record is from RNAcentral.
CCUACGGGUGGCAGCAGUGAGGAAUAUUGGUCAAUGGGCUUACGCCUGAACCAGCCAAGUCGCGUGAGGGAAGACUGCCCUAUGGGUUGUAAACCUCUUUUGUCAGGGAGCAACGCCGGCUACGUGUAGCCGGACUGAGAGUACCUGCAGAAAAAGCAUCGGCUAACUCCGUGCCAGCAGCCGCGGUAAUACGGAGGAUGCGAGCGUUAUCCGGAUUUAUUGGGUUUAAAGGGUGCGUAGGCGGGAGAGCAAGUCAGACGUGAAAUUCCAGGGCUCAACCCUGGAACUGCGUUUGAAACUGUUCUUCUUGAGUGAUGGAGAGGCAGGCGGAAGUCCGUGUGUAGCGGUGAAAUGCGUAGAUAUACGGAGGAACACCAGUGGCGAAGGCGGCCUGCUGGACAUUAACUGACGCUGAGGCGCGAAAGCGUGGGGAGCAAACAGGAUUAGAUACCCGGGUAGUC